CCAAAGGCUCUUUUAAGAGCCACUCACUUAUUUUUUGAAAGAUCU
Dipodomys ordii (Ord's kangaroo rat) is the source of this 45-nucleotide non-coding RNA. NCBI's taxonomy places the organism in Eukaryota, Metazoa, Chordata, Mammalia, Rodentia, Heteromyidae. The record is from Rfam.